UUGACCGUGGCAAGUAGCAUAAUCAAUUGUCUUUUAAUUGAAGGCUUGUAUGAAAGGUUGAAUGAGAUAUAAACUAUUUAUAUUUAAUAAAAAUUGAAUUUUAAUUAUUCAUAAAAAUGUGAAUGUAAUAAUAAAAGACGAGAAGACCCUAUAAAUCUUAAUUAUUUUAUUUUAAUUUAUAUAUAAUGAAAAAUUGAUUAAAUUUUAAUAAAAUAAUUUUAUUGGGGUGAUAAUUAAAUUUAUAAAACUUUAAUUUUUUAUUUAUAAUUAUAAUUAUUUUUUUGAUCCAUUAAUAAUGAAUGUAAAAUUAAGUUACUUUAGGGAUAACAGCGUAAUUAUUUUAAAGAGUUCUUAUCGAUAAAAUAGAUUGCGACCUCGAUGUUGAAUUAAGAGCUAAGUUUAAAG
Molecule: ribosomal RNA, 405 nt
Filed under: Culicoides tropicalis
Lineage: Eukaryota; Metazoa; Arthropoda; Insecta; Diptera; Ceratopogonidae
Description: partial 16S ribosomal RNA
Source: RNAcentral